UAGGGAAUCUUCCGCAAUGGACGAAAGUCUGACGGAGCAACGCCGCGUGAGUGAAGAAGGUUUUCGGUUCGUAAAACUCUGUUGUUAGGGAAGAAAAAAUGUAUAGUAACUAUAUACAAAAGAGACGGUACCUAACCAGAAAGCCACGGCUAACUACGUGCCAGCAGCCGCGGUAAUACGUAGGUGGCAAGCGUUGUCCGGAAUUAUUGGGCGUAAAGCGCGCGCAGGUGGUUUAGAAAGUCUGAUGUGAAAGCCCACGGCUCAACCGUGGAGGGUCAUUGGAAACUAAUAAACUUGAGUGCAGGAGAGAAAAGUGGAAUUCCUAGUGUAGCGGUGAAAUGCGUAGAGAUUAGGAGGAACACCGGUGGCGAAAGCGGCUUUUUGGCCUGCAAAUGACACUGAGGCGCGAAAGCGUGGGGAGCAAACAGG
Molecule: ribosomal RNA, 429 nt
Filed under: Verrucomicrobiota bacterium
Lineage: Bacteria; Pseudomonadati; Verrucomicrobiota
Description: Verrucomicrobia bacterium partial 16S ribosomal RNA
Rfam family: Bacterial small subunit ribosomal RNA
Source: RNAcentral